AGCAGACUGGACAAGCACGUCAGAGGGGCAUGAGUACACCUGCCCCGAGUGAUGCUGCCGGCUGCUGUUCCCGUGGCAUCAACAUUUGCUCGCUUCCAGGGGCUGCUGGUUAUUGAAGGCUGUCAGGCUUGCCAAGACAGCCCUUUCGUUUAUAGAAGAAAGCACGUCUGUUCGCUCACCUUGGCGUCGCCAGCUCUCAGCACAGCACCAGUCACGCGGCAGGCACUCGGGUGACCCAGAGACGCCAAAAGGCUGGACACCCCCGUACCGUCAGCGUCCAUCCCGUGCUCGGCAGCGCGUGUCUGAACACAGCACUCUAACUCUGCAGAACUGUUCAAUGGUUCCCCAGCGACUGCUGAGUGAAGUCCAAAUUCUUUGCCAAGAUUCUUCAC
Phyllostomus hastatus (greater spear-nosed bat) is the source of this 392-nucleotide long non-coding RNA. RefSeq lists it as uncharacterized. The record is from RefSeq and is a predicted model, not a curated record. The transcript is spliced from 3 exons. Lineage: Eukaryota; Metazoa; Chordata; Mammalia; Chiroptera; Phyllostomidae.